RNAcentral lists this long non-coding RNA (1964 nucleotides) under Homo sapiens (human). Its description in RNAcentral is "HSALNT0322956". The record is from RNAcentral. Lineage: Eukaryota; Metazoa; Chordata; Mammalia; Primates; Hominidae.
ACUCCCAGCAGCUAAGGUGACAAGCGUUUUUCGGUUCUGCCAGGGGAUCUGAGUGGCACACAACAACAUCCACUAUGAAAUGUGGUGUGUGCUGGGUGGGGGCUGACUGAGGAGCUCGAGAGUAGGAGUGAGGCAGGCUAUUUUAAAGAGGUGGCAAGGGAAGGCCUCUCUGAGCAAAGGCAGAGACUUUAGGCAAAGACUUGAUUGGUGUGAGGAAGUGAGCCAUUCAAAGUCAAGGGCACCAGAGGUUCUAAGCAGAGGAAACAGCAAAUGCAAAGCAGAGAACAAGCUUGGCACAUUUGAGAACCAACAAUAAGUCCAGUGUGUCUGGAGCCACAGGAGUCAAGGAGACAGCAGCUGGCAGUUCAGCCAAUGGGCUACCAGGAAACCAGAUGGCAGAGAGCCUGGUAGACCACGGUAGAAGCAUAUGGGAAACUGCAUUCCGAUCCAGGGAAGUAUAGGAAGCAGUAAUAAAAGUGGGAAGACCUAUUAUAAGUUCGUUGCAGUCAUCCAGGAGGCAGAGUGUGUGCAGGAACUCAAAGCCCAUGGAACAGCAGGAUGCAGCUUUUCUUGGCUCCGUUACUGAGAGAUCCUGUCUGAUGUUUCCUCUCUGACAGGCCGUGACUGGGGACAUUUGGAUGGCCAGCAGAGCUGGAUUUAGAGGCAGAAGAGCUGGGCAGCUGUCCCAGUUACUCAUCUAUGAGGGGAGCUGAAAGAUCAUGAGAAUAAAUCAGAAAGAUGGUGCCAGUUAACCCCGCUUUCCACACAAGACUCUUGAUAUAAUUGGUGAAGUGGAAACUCCAGCCAAAGUACACUCCAUCCUCAAGCAAAACAUAAAACACACUCCUGAUGGAUACAGAAAGUUCUGGUGGCCUUAGAGCCUGAUUUGGUGCCAACCUGCCUGCGUUCAAAUCCAGGUUCCACUACUCACUGGAUGUGUGACCUUAGACAACUUCUUUCACCUCCUAGUGCUCUGUUCCCUUGGCUAUAAAAUAAAAAUUAUAAGAGUGCCAGUUUUGAACACUAAAUGGGCAUAAAGGAAACACUUAGACCCCAGACGGGCAUGUAGCAGGAACUUUAUAAUGGUUAGCUACUCAUUACCAUCUUUGUGAUGAGCUCAAGCAAGUUGCCUAAUGCCACUGGAGGCUGCACCCCUACCUGAGACAGCCACCUGAACAUUUCCUUAACGUGCAGCCUCUGAGAGCUGAAACUCUGAAAGGAAGUCCUGCAUAAUGAGCAUUUAUUAUGUUCAAGUAAUUAAUUUUCUCUCUUAAAAAUGUAACCCCCUUAGUACACCUCAAAAGAAAUCAUCUGACUUAGAAAAUACAAAAGACAUCUGAACAACAUCAAACAUUACAGAAAAGUUUUGCCCACGUGAAAGUCCCACUCCACCCCACCGCACCCCAAGAAAAGCAAAGCAAACAUAAAACCAACUUUUGAACAUUUUGAACAAGUGUUUGUAACCAUAUCGAUAUAUGCAUUACCUCUGUCCUGAGUGGGCAAAUCGGGAAGAACUGCAAAUGAUGUGUGAAGAACUGUACCCUGCGUGCCAGGCAGAUAUUCAUUCAUGAACAGAUAUUUACAUGACAGAAAGUGUCCUAGGCCUGGUGGAUGUGAAGAAAACAGACAGAGUCCCUGCUCUCAGGAAGCUGUGCCAGCAGGAGAGACAGAGAGGCUUUCCUGAGGAAAGAGCAAUUAACCUCAAGUCUGUCUUCAAAAGGUUAGAGUCUUUUUUCUCCUGAGAAACAGAAAAGAGACGUUGGAAGCUGACAUGCCUCUUUGUUUAUUCUUCGUGCAACUCCUACCAAGAUCCUGGAAAAGCAGUGAUUCCUUCACAGUCACCCCUUUAGGGUGGUCCCUAAAACCAGAUGCAGAACAUUUUAGAAAACUCCAAGUCAGUGCUCAUUCCUUGGGGCAACCUGCUCUGGGCCUUGUUGAAGGAGAGGUCUGGUUUGUGACAUUAA